Molecule: ribosomal RNA, 422 nt
Filed under: uncultured bacterium
Lineage: Bacteria
Description: bacterial SSU rRNA
Rfam family: Bacterial small subunit ribosomal RNA
Source: RNAcentral
UAGGGAAUAUUGGGCAAUGGAGGCGACUCUGACCCAGCCAUGCCGCGUGCAGGAAGAAGGCGCUACGCGUUGUAAACUGCUUUUUUUCGGGAAGAAAAAGCUUCUGCGGAAGUCACUGACGGUACCGAAGGAAUCAGCACCGGCUAACUCCGUGCCAGCAGCCGCGGUAAUACGGAGGGUGCAAGCGUUGUCCGGAUUCAUUGGGUUUAAAGGGUGCGCAGGCGGGCGAUUAAGUCAGGGGUGAAAGACGGUUGCUCAACAAUCGCAGUGCCUUUGAUACUGGUUGUCUUGGGUGACCUUGAGGUAGGCGGAAUGGGUGGUGUAGCGGUGAAAUGCAUAGAUACCACCCAGAACUCCGAUUGCGAAGGCAGCCUACUGGAGGUUCACCGACGCUCAGGCACGAAAGCGUGGGGAUCAAACAG